GCCUUUUGGAAAAUUCUCUGCCCUGGAGCUAGUAUCGCCAAAGGAUCGUAAGCGUAUUUCCUCUGUGCAAAGGUUUCCCACCGAUUGCCGAAGUACUCUAAGCCAUCUGUUCCUGUUGAAGAUGGCACUGCAGAGGAAAGAAACGCGACUAGAUAGAAGAUGUCUUCAUUUGGAGUGACCAAAGAUGUGUUACUGUUCCACCUGCAAUGAAAACGAAUGCUGCCUCCGGAUGGUAUUUUACCAUAUUUGGUGCUGGUUCAAGUGAUAUUCGUGCCCGCGUGAUUAUGCCAAACUGUCCAAGCCCUCCAAGAACACCGUGGAAAAGCUCGGAGUUCUGCUUCUCUGAACAGGUCAUUGUACAGUAGGGUCCCCAAGCCGGCCCCUACUUGGAUUUCAUUGUACUGGAAGCUCAGGGCCUCAAUGUGAGAGAAACAUGGUUGCCCACCACUCUCCCUCCCAGCUCGAUAAACCUCAUUGCAUCAUCCUUAUUGGACUCUUUGCAUCUCCUUUGACACUAUCAGUUUACGUCAUAAUAUUAUAAACUUUGUGAAUUGACUGUUUGUGCUUACGUCAGUAGCAGCUUUGUUUGAGCAUCUAAAAGGUCUCGCUGAGACAUGAACCCACUUAAUAGAAACUGGCCUCAAGAUAGAGAUUUCAGGUCUCUCGGCUUGUUGGACGCUAUUCAGUACAUCCCCUCUCACUGUAAGUUAGCUAAGAAAGUGCAAGUCCCAGGUUUUAGGUUAGUGAAAACAUUGUGUUUGGAAUGUUUCCAUCGUUUGUUAUUUUGGGCAACACUAUCUCACAUAAAGAAGUGUAGGACAUGCAGCAUUGAGUGGAGAAAAGAUUGUUGGCUUCUGUCCUUAAUGGUGGUCCUCAACGACCAAUCGAGACCUUGUCAUUAUUUUGCUUCUUAACACUUCGAAUUAAGGCAAUCUAUGUUCUUUGCUAAAAAAUGGCAUAAAGGCAGAUACGAAGAUGAAAAUCCAAAACCCAUGUCAUUCUACUUUGUAAUAGAGUAAUAUAUAUUUUUGUUGCGUGUUUCAUCGUGGACUCUUUUUUUGGUUAAUAGUUCACAUUCUUUGCGUGAAUUUUGUAGUGGCCUUGUCUACCUAUUUUUGUAAAUGAAAACAACGGCCGAAAAAAAGGCGGGGAGGGGGUGAGAAUGCAGGCAGUAGUAUGACAGUUCGAACAAAGGAGACAUGGAUAUGAAAAGUUGUACAGGAGAGAAGACAUUGUGAAGAUUUUGCAUUAAAGAGAUUUGCUGGGCUUAGAGAGAAUACUGUUACGUAGAUGACGACAUGGUAAGCAACUUGUGUCUGCUCACUCAUGGACUUUGCCCUUCCAUGCCCAUGAAAACCCAAGAGAGAGAGGGCAUGUAGAUAUGUUACAAGGAUGGAAUCUUUAGGGACAUGUAGUCGUAGAGAGGUGCUGAAGAAAACCCAUAUUUGUAGAGUUUAGUUCAUUGGCCAGUUAGUUGACCUUGGGUUUCUAUUGUCCCCAAUUAUUAUC
This is a long non-coding RNA of Tarenaya hassleriana, 1509 nucleotides long. RefSeq lists it as uncharacterized. The transcript is spliced from 7 exons. The record is from RefSeq and is a predicted model, not a curated record. NCBI's taxonomy places the organism in Eukaryota, Viridiplantae, Streptophyta, Magnoliopsida, Brassicales, Cleomaceae.